RNAcentral lists this non-coding RNA (249 nucleotides) under Anaerotruncus sp. Its description in RNAcentral is "T-box sequence". It matches the Rfam family "T-box leader". Rfam says of the family: Uncharged tRNA acts as the effector for transcription antitermination of genes in the T-box leader family. T-boxes are found upstream of many aminoacyl-tRNA synthetase genes and some amino acid biosynthetic genes usually in Gram-positive bacteria. The record is from RNAcentral. Lineage: Bacteria; Bacillati; Bacillota; Clostridia; Eubacteriales; Oscillospiraceae.
ACAAAGGCAGGGAGAGGGACGGCAGGUUCCGGAUUCCGUUUACAGAGAGCCGGUGGUUGGUGGAAACCGGCAGCGGAGGGGAUUUUGUUUAUCACCCUUGAGCCGGGCACUCAAAACGGUUGUGAGUAGGUGUCUCCGCUGGACAGCGUUACAGGUCAGGAGCUUGUUGGAGCUCUGAUGAGAGGCGCAGAUCUGCGCAAUGCGGGUGGUACCGCGGGUAUGUUUGGUAAAAACAGGCUCGUCCCAGUG